Molecule: non-coding RNA, 208 nt
Filed under: Rhizobium sp.
Lineage: Bacteria; Pseudomonadati; Pseudomonadota; Alphaproteobacteria; Hyphomicrobiales; Rhizobiaceae
Also listed under: 1 other name
Source: RNAcentral
AUAAACAUGUCAACGUCAGGUGCCGGCUCGAAAGAGCAGGAGAAUCGGGAAUCCGGCGCAAAUCCGGAACGUGCCCAACGCUGUAAGGCGGAUGCCUGGCCGCACAGGUUCCCCGUAUGAGGGGCCGGCCACUGGUUCACGAAACCGGGAAGGCUGCGGCCGGCAGGUGAUGCCAAGUCAGAAGACCGGCCUGAUGCUGAUAGGUUUG